Molecule: ribosomal RNA, 301 nt
Filed under: uncultured bacterium
Lineage: Bacteria
Description: partial 16S ribosomal RNA
Rfam family: Bacterial small subunit ribosomal RNA
Source: RNAcentral
CAGAGCCGCGGUAAUACAGAGGGUGCGAGCGUUAAUCGGAUUUACUGGGCGUAAAGCGUGCGUAGGCGGCUUCUUAAGUCGGAUGUGAAAUCCCUGAGCUUAACUUAGGAAUUGCAUUCGAUACUGGGAAGCUAGAGUAUGGGAGAGGAUGGUAGAAUUCCAGGUGUAGCGGUGAAAUGCGUAGAGAUCUGGAGGAAUACCGAUGGCGAAGGCAGCCAUCUGGCCUAAUACUGACGCUGAGGUACGAAAGCAUGGGGAGCAAACAGGAUUAGAUACCCGAGUAGUCCCUGUCUCUUAUACA